This 73-nucleotide transfer RNA is filed under the name Ixodes scapularis (black-legged tick). It matches the Rfam family "tRNA". Rfam says of the family: Transfer RNA (tRNA) molecules are approximately 80 nucleotides in length. Their secondary structure includes four short double-helical elements and three loops (D, anti-codon, and T loops). The record is from Rfam by way of RNAcentral. Lineage: Eukaryota; Metazoa; Arthropoda; Arachnida; Ixodida; Ixodidae.
UCCUGGUUAGCUUAGUUGGCAGAGCAGUCUACUGGAAAAAGUGAGGACCCUGGUUCGAUACCAAGACCAGGUG